UGGUGGGGUAAUGGCCUACCAAGGCGACGACGGGUAGCCGGCCUGAGAGGGCGACCGGCCACACUGGGACUGAGACACGGCCCAGACUCCUACGGGAGGCAGCAGUGGGGAAUAUUGCACAAUGGGCGAAAGCCUGAUGCAGCGACGCCGCGUGGGGGAUGACGGCCUUCGGGUUGUAAACCUCUUUCAGUUGGGACGAAGCCCUUCGGGGUGACGGUACCCUCAGAAGAAGCACCGGCUAACUACGUGCCAGCAGCCGCGGUAAUACGUAGGGUGCAAGCGUUGUCCGGAAUUAUUGGGCGUAAAGAGCUCGUAGGUGGUUUGUCGCGUCUGCUGUGAAAUCCUUCCGCUCAACGGGAGGCUUGCAGUGGGUACGGGCAGACUAGAGUGCAGUAGAGGAGUCUGGAAUUCCUGGUGUAGCGGUGGAGUGCGCAGAUAUCAGGAGGAACACCGGUGGCGAAGGCGGGACUCUGGGCUGUUACUGACGCUGAGGAGCGAAAGCAUGGGGAGCGAACAGGAUUAGAUACCCUGGUAGUCCAUGCCGUAAACGUUGGGCACUAGGUGUGGGGUCCAUUCCACGGAUUCCGUGCCGCAGCUAACGCAUUAAGUGCCCCGCCUGGGGAGUACGGAAU
RNAcentral lists this ribosomal RNA (632 nucleotides) under uncultured Actinomycetes bacterium. RNAcentral describes it as "bacterial SSU rRNA". It matches the Rfam family "Bacterial small subunit ribosomal RNA", at positions 250 to 888 of the family's 1533-position model. The record is from RNAcentral. Lineage: Bacteria; Bacillati; Actinomycetota; Actinomycetes.